UGUGGCCUACGGGGGGCAGCAGUAGGGAAUCUUCCACAAUGGACGAAAGUCUGAUGGAGCAACGCCGCGUGAGUGAAGAAGGGUUUCGGCUCGUAAAGCUCUGUUGGGAGUGAAGAAAGAUAGAGGUAGUAACUGGCCUUUAUUUGAAGGUAAUUACUUAGAAAGUCACGGCUAACUACGUGCCAGCAGCCGCGGUAAUACGUAGGUGGCAAGCGUUGUCCGGGUUUAUUGGG
Molecule: ribosomal RNA, 233 nt
Filed under: uncultured bacterium
Lineage: Bacteria
Description: partial 16S ribosomal RNA
Rfam family: Bacterial small subunit ribosomal RNA
Source: RNAcentral